UACAGAGGGGGCGAGCGUUGUUCGGAAUUACUGGGCGUAAAGGGCGCGUAGGCGGCCCGCUAAGUCGAACGUGAAAUCCCCAGGCUCAACCUGGGAACUGCGUCCGAUACUGGCAGGCUUGAAUCCGGGAGAGGGAUGUGGAAUUCCAGGUGUAGCGGUGAAAUUCGUAGAUAUCGAGAGGAACACCGGCGGCGAAGGCGGCCAUCUGGACGAGGACUGACGCUGAGAUGCGAAAGCGUGGGGAGCAAACAGG
RNAcentral lists this ribosomal RNA (253 nucleotides) under uncultured bacterium. Its description in RNAcentral is "partial 16S ribosomal RNA". It matches the Rfam family "Bacterial small subunit ribosomal RNA", at positions 524 to 776 of the family's 1533-position model. The record is from RNAcentral.